Molecule: long non-coding RNA, 378 nt
Organism: Populus euphratica (Euphrates poplar)
Lineage: Eukaryota; Viridiplantae; Streptophyta; Magnoliopsida; Malpighiales; Salicaceae
Exons: 2
Source: RefSeq, a predicted model, not a curated record
UUGCCAAAAAAAUCUUGAAAAAAAAAAAGGAGUCUGGCUUUGGUUAAAAAGAGCAGCGAUUCUAUGAAGGGUAAAAUCAAAGAGUGAUAGAGCGAAUCAAUGUGAUUGACUGGGCAGUGAAGUGAUGAAGGGACUUUAUUGUCUUCCUCAGCUUUCUUGCCGAGAAAGGACCGUCCGAGACAUCUUUAUCUGAUGAGCCGGUCCCUGUAGGUGGCUGGUUGCAAUGUUACAUCUUGUCAAGAUGUCAAAUCCAUCGGCUUUUUGUAGAUUGCUGAAUGACAAAUUUGAAAUGUAGCUUCCAUUUUCAAUAAAAGAGAUUGAGCUCCAAUCCCUUCCAACCUGACAAGGUCCUUGGCAAAAGAAGGGUUGGUUGUAUUA